RNAcentral lists this ribosomal RNA (495 nucleotides) under uncultured bacterium. RNAcentral's name for it is "bacterial SSU rRNA". It matches the Rfam family "Bacterial small subunit ribosomal RNA", at positions 900 to 1396 of the family's 1533-position model. The record is from RNAcentral.
CUCAAAUAAAUUGACGGGGCGCACAAGCAGUGGAGUAUGUGGUUUAAUUCGAAGCAACGCGAAGAACCUUACCAGGUCUUGACAUCCCGAUGAAAGCAUUAGAGAUAGUGCCCCUCUUCGGAGCAUCGGAGACAGGUGGUGCAUGGUUGUCGUCAGCUCGUGUCGUGAGAUGUUGGGUUAAGUCCCGCAACGAGCGCAACCCUUGACUUUAGUUGCCAGCAGGUUAAGCUGGGCACUCUAGAGUGACUGCCGGUGACAAACCGGAGGAAGGUGGGGAUGACGUCAAAUCAUCAUGCCCCUUAUGACCUGGGCUACACACGUACUACAAUGGCCGGUACAACGGGAAGCGAAGCCGCGAGGUGGAGCCAAUCCCAGCAAAGCCGGUCUCAGUUCGGAUUGCAGGCUGCAACUCGCCUGCAUGAAGUCGGAAUUGCUAGUAAUCGCGGAUCAGCAUGCCGCGGUGAAUACGUUCCCGGCCUUUGUACACACCGCCCG